RNAcentral lists this long non-coding RNA (464 nucleotides) under Gallus gallus (chicken). The record is from RNAcentral. Lineage: Eukaryota; Metazoa; Chordata; Aves; Galliformes; Phasianidae.
CAGUAUGUGAGCAUCAUUGCAAAGUUGGCUUCAGAAGCAUCCUUCUGAUCUGAAGUCAAACACAGGUAUGCUCAUAGUCUCAGUUCCCUUUUAUAGGACAAAGGGACAUAAGCUGAUUUACAUUUUUUUCAUGCAUUUCCUCUCACUUGGCUUCAUUUUUGUUUGACUCUGUGAAUUCAAAUGCUUUUCCACUUAGUCUUUUUCUUUGGGAAUUAAUUGGCUCUCUUCUUUCCAUUGGAGGCUAUAAUUAUUCACACUAACAGACAUCUUUUCUGUCUGCUUAUUGGAAAAGGUGAAAGAGAGGAAAACAGAAAUUUCAAAACUCUGUAUCACGUGUUGAUGAGAGUUUGUAAGCUUUCAGUUCUGUUCUCAUACUCAGCCUGGUUUGACCAGGCUUGCUGGCAGAACAGCUCGCAGCAUUCUCAGCCUGUAAGACCUCCCCAUCCUCAUCAUCCUGUGCAGCC